AUUUUCUCCGUUAACUCCUUAUUACAAAAAAAAAAUUCUCCGCUAAAGUUAACAAAACUGUUAGUUUAAUUAAUUAUAAUUAUUUUAUUACUUUAAUAUUUUCAAAUAAAUAAGAUUAAUAAUAUUAAGUAUUUUUUUUAACGAUUUUAUCGAAAGUCAUGUAGAUAGUACAAGUUUAUCGCCAGACUCAAUGAUUUGUAUAGUGGGGUUUUGUGAUGAAGCGAUUCUUCAAAGAAAUUCGAUACAAAUCGAAUAUAAUCAAAUAAACCCUAAAAUUUUCUCGAAGCGACUCUUUAUAGUUUCCUUCUUUCAAGACACAGAAGCAACCAGUAGCAAGUCAAAAGAUGAAUUAAUUUUGAUUGGAUUCUGCUAUAGAGAGUAAAUAAUGCCAUGGCUGUGUCCAUUGCUCCCAGUUACGUGUUAUUAAAUACUUUUGAAUUUUUCAAUCCGAAUGAUUUUUGGAUACACCAAUAUACUUUCCCUAUUUUUUAUUUGUUUUGGAUACCUGUAUGAUCGAGGAGAAGAUUCCAAAGUAGCAGGUUUUAGAGCAAUUGUGUUUUGCAACUGUCGGUAGGAGAUUCGUCAAUGCUACCUCCCCUAUUCAAAUAUUUGUUUCAAACCAUGUAAUUUUAUUGCUCAUUAGUCUUUAUGUUGUUCAUACAAUUGAUGUGCUUUUUAAUUUGUUAUGUGUAUAUUUUUAUUGUGAUUGUAGCGAUACCAGAUAAUAUGGAAUUUCAUUUAGGAGAUACGUUCAAUUACACUACUUCAGAUGGAUUUGUACAUAUUCAUGUUCUCAUAGCUAUUAAUAAACUUAUGGUUAUAUAAUUUAUUAUUUUGGGUGUUAAUAAUUCAUCUUGUAGACUUAAAUCAUUGUCUUGGAUCUUGAAGGUUAAGAUUCAAAUAGUAAUAGUGAAGUGAGAUCAAAGAUCAUUUAAACAAGAGUAUGCUACAUAAAAUUUAUGCUGACAAAUUUAUUGGUAACAGAAUUUUAAUUUUCCAUCUACUUGGCUCUACUUUUCUUUUGUAUAAUUUUUGUUGUGUGUUAGAAAUUUCAUGUUGUUGGUACAUGUAUAAUAAUAGUGUUUGAUUAUGUUUUUCUUCUUGAUUUGUAAGAGUUUUAGCACUAUGAGAUUGAUUGUGUUCACUUGUGUUUGUUCUCUUUUUCUAAUAUCCAUAUAGUUAAUGUACCCUGCUCAGAUUACAAGAAAUUUAUCUCUGUAUGACCUCUAAAACUCUUCAAGUAUUAUCUUUUUAAAAAUAUACUAGGGUGGUUUCCAAUAGUAGUUGAUUUUCUUUGUUUCAUUACUUUUCAUAUAUAGUGAAAAAAUCAUAAGUUUUAUAUGAAGUGAAAAAUCCAUAUGUGAGACAUAUAGUGUAAAAAGCCAGAAGCUUUGUACAGAGUAAAUACAUUCAUUGACAAUUCAUGAAUACCUUGUUCGACUCAGUUUGGUGCCGAGUGUCCUGUCCUGUCAGGCUAGACUAUUUUGUCAAUUAAUAAGUGUGAACCAGUUGAUCCAGAUGGCUUACAAAAGCUGUUAAGGGUACUUAAAUCAGUUGAUGUGAAUGGUUUGUUUGUUGAUUGUUGGUGGGAAAUUGUGGAGGAACAUGUUCUCGAGGCGUACAACUAGAAUGAUUACAAAAAGACUCUUUUAAAUAGUGUGCGUGUGAGUUCAAGCUCAAGUUAUAAGUGAGUUUAUAUGUCAUUACUAUUUUCCUGUGCUUAUUCUAGCUUAUGUCUUUUGUUUCACAAUGAAUAUUAUAGAGACAUAGCUUACUAACUAAUAUUUAUUUAUUUUAAAGGAAGCAAUAUGAUAUUUGAUUGGCAUCUUGAUCAAA
Cannabis sativa is the source of this 1836-nucleotide long non-coding RNA. RefSeq lists it as uncharacterized. The record is from RefSeq and is a predicted model, not a curated record. NCBI's taxonomy places the organism in Eukaryota, Viridiplantae, Streptophyta, Magnoliopsida, Rosales, Cannabaceae. The transcript has 2 exons.